AGCUUUGCGCAGUGGCAGUAUCGUAGCCAAUGAGGUAUAUGAGGUGCGAUUAUUGCUAAUUCAAAUCUGUGUAGAAUUUAGAGCUAUACCAGUUGACCUGAAGAAAUUUCAGCGCAGUACUGUGGAAC
This 128-nucleotide small nuclear RNA is filed under the name Pteropus alecto (black flying fox). RNAcentral's name for it is "U4 spliceosomal RNA". It matches the Rfam family "U4 spliceosomal RNA". From Rfam's summary of the family: U4 small nuclear RNA (U4 snRNA) is a component of the major U2-dependent spliceosome. The structure of U4 snRNA from yeast and human has been reported. The record is from Rfam by way of RNAcentral. Lineage: Eukaryota; Metazoa; Chordata; Mammalia; Chiroptera; Pteropodidae.